This 253-nucleotide ribosomal RNA is filed under the name uncultured bacterium. RNAcentral describes it as "partial 16S ribosomal RNA". It matches the Rfam family "Bacterial small subunit ribosomal RNA", at positions 524 to 776 of the family's 1533-position model. The record is from RNAcentral.
GACGUAGGGCGCGAGCGUUGUCCGGAUUUAUUGGGCGUAAAGAGCUCGUAGGCGGCUUGUCGCGUCGUUCGUGAAAACCUGCAGCUCAACUGCAGGCUUGCGGUCGAUACGGGCAGGCUAGAGUUCGGUAGGGGAGACUGGAAUUCCUGGUGUAGCGGUGAAAUGCGCAGAUAUCAGGAGGAACACCGGUGGCGAAGGCGGGUCUCUGGACAUUUCCUGACGCUGAGGCACGAAAGCCAGGGGAGCAAACGGG